Molecule: ribosomal RNA, 1391 nt
Filed under: uncultured Alcaligenes sp.
Lineage: Bacteria; Pseudomonadati; Pseudomonadota; Betaproteobacteria; Burkholderiales; Alcaligenaceae
Description: bacterial SSU rRNA
Rfam family: Bacterial small subunit ribosomal RNA
Source: RNAcentral
GCAAGUCGAGCGGCAGCACGAUAGAGCUUGCUCUCUUGAUGGCGAGUGGCGUCCAGGUGAGUAAUAUAUCGUAACGUGCCCAGUAUCGGGGGAUAACUACUCGUAACAGUGGCUAAUACCGCAUACGCCCUACGGGGGACAGGGGGGGAUUCUUCGGAACCUCUCACUAUUGGAGCGGCCGAUAUCCCAUUGUGUAGUUGGUGGGGUAAAGGCUCACCAACUCAACGAUCCGUAGAUGGUUUGAUAGGAUGACCGGAUGAUCUGGGACUGAGACACUGCCCCAACUCCUACAGUAGGCCGCAGUGGGGAAUUUUGGACUAUGGGGGAAAGCCUGAUCCCCCCAUCCCGCGUGGAUGAUGAAGGCCUUCAGGUUGUAAAGUACUUUUGGCCUAUAAGACAAGGUAUCCCCUAAUACGGGAUACUGCUGACGGUUUCUGCUUAAUAACCACCGGCUAACUACCUGCCUCCAGCCCCGGUACUACGUAAGGUGCAAGCGUUAAUCCGAAUUACUGGGCUUCUGGCGUGUGUACGCGUGUCGGAGAUAUGUAUGUGAAAACCCGAGGCUCAACCUUGGAACUGCAUUUUUAACUGCCGAGCUGGAGUACUCAGAGGGGGGUAGAAUUCCACGUGUACCAGUGAAAUGCGUAGAUAUGUGGAGGAAUACCGAUGGMSAAGGCAGCCCCCUGGGAUAAUACUGACGCUCAGACACKAAGCGUGRGGAGCAGACAGGAUUASAUASCCUGGUASUCCACGCCCUAAAYGAUGUCACUAGCUGUUGKGGCCGUUAGGCCUUAGUAGCGCAGCUAACGCGUGAAGUUGMCCGCCUGGRGAGUACGGUCGCAAGAUUAAAAAUCAAAGGAAUUGACGGGGACCCGCACAAGCGGUGGAUGAUGUGGAUUAAUUCGAUGCAACGCGAAAAACCUUACCUACCCUUGACAUGUCUGGAAUCCCGAAGAGAUUUGGCAGUGCUCGCAAGAGAACCGGAACACAGGUGGUGCAUGGCAGUCGUCAGCUCGAGUCGUGAGAUGUUGGGUUAAGUCCCGCAACGAGCGCAACCCUUGUCAUUAGUUAGUACGCAAGAGCACUCCAAUGAGACUGCCGGUGACAAACCGGAGGAAGGUGGGGAUGACGUCAAGUCCUCAUGGCCCUUAUGGGUAGGGCUUCACACGUCAUACAAUGGUCGGGACAGAGGGUCGCCAACCCGCGAGGGGGAGCCAAUCUCAGAAAACCGAUCGUAGUCCGGAUCGCAGUCUGCAACUCGACUGCGUGAAGUCGGAAUCGCUAGUAAUCGCGGAUCAGAAUGUCGCGGUGAAUACGUUCCCGGGUCUUGUACACACCGCCCGUCACACCAAGGGAGUGGGUCUCACCAGAAGUAGGUAGCCUAACCGUAA